Oreochromis niloticus (Nile tilapia) is the source of this 1297-nucleotide RNA transcript. RefSeq lists it as uncharacterized. Lineage: Eukaryota; Metazoa; Chordata; Actinopteri; Cichliformes; Cichlidae. The transcript has 5 exons. The record is from RefSeq and is a predicted model, not a curated record.
AAAACUUUUCUUUGUGUGGAAUAAAACUUCCAAAACUGUUUUUCCAUCCUGAUGAUCAGAAGAGUGUUUGAGGGUCUCAGAGACCCUUCAGAACAACAUUAAGUGUUAAUGAGCUCUUUUAGCUGUUUAGGUGAUUACAAUCAUGUGAUUUCCAGGAAGUGCUGCAGCGCUGCAUGCUCUCUCUCUCUGCAGACUAUUUGCUGCUGUCUGUCUCUACAUGUUUUCUCUGUGUGUGUUUCUGCUGCUUCUUUGUCCUCACUGUAAACAGAUGUACUGAGAGACUCCAACGUCACUUCCGUACGAGACGGUGCAUCCUGUAAGUGUGGAGUUUGACCGAGCGGCUGAACGACAGAUCUGUUCUAACAGUCAGUGACUUUCAGCUUUAUUUUAAACCUUAAAUUUAAUCUUGUGUCGUCAGAUUUAAACACAGGUUCAGUUAUUGAGUGAAAAUACCAACAGACUCAGACAUUUAGGACAAACUAAGAGUCAGAUCAGCAGAAACAGAGAACACGGACAUGUCUGCUGUAACUGCGUCACUCUGCUCCACUUUGCUGAUGUUUGGUGGAGUCUUCAUGUUUGUCUCUGCAGAUUUUCCACCCUGAUGACCACAGAGGCCUUCGAGGCUUCCAGACGUCCUUCAGAACAACACACUGGAUGAACUGGUGAUUUACACAGGCUACUGGUUUUGUAAACUGGUGCAGGCUGCUGCUGGUUCUCAGACCAGAAAAUCAUCACAGCUGAAUCUGGACAGAACGUCACUCUGACAUGUCGAGCUUCAAACAACAUUAUAGCAGUAAACUGGAGCAGAGCUGACCUGGGAACAAAAUAUGUCCUUUUUUACCGGGAUGAGCGUUUUUUUCCAGACGACCAGCAUCCAUCUUUUAAGAACCGGGUGGAUCUGCAGGACAGACGGAUGAAGGAUGGAGACGUGUCUUUGAUUCUGAAAGAUGUGACGACUAAUGACACUGGAACAUACGAGUGUAGUGUUGCCCAAAAAGAACCAAACCAAGAGAGACCCAGUUUGAAGCCCAUCAGCAUCAUCUACCUGAGUGUUGUUGAUCCUCCAGGUCAGACAGGAGGAGACACAGAGGCAGGAGGGAAGGAGGAUGGAGGGAAGGAGGCUGGAUCUGUUGGACUGAUCAUUGGUCUGUCAGUGUCGGCUGUGCUUCUUGUUGCUGCUGUUGCUGGAUUUUUGGUCUGCAGAAAACGUGAGAAAACAAAGAGUUGGGAUCCAUACCAGCCUCCUGCUGAACUGCAGCCUGUUUGAAAUGUGAGUUUCUUACAGCUGAGCUCCUGG